This is a small nucleolar RNA of Cannabis sativa, 107 nucleotides long. The record is from RefSeq and is a predicted model, not a curated record. Lineage: Eukaryota; Viridiplantae; Streptophyta; Magnoliopsida; Rosales; Cannabaceae.
AUCCCAUGGUUAGGGCAUUUUCUCAAUAAGUCCUUGAACCACUCCCAGGCUUCAUAAAGAGAUUCGUUGUCAUGUUGAAUGAAGUUGUUGAUUUCAGCUCUUAAUUU